Molecule: ribosomal RNA, 253 nt
Filed under: uncultured bacterium
Lineage: Bacteria
Description: partial 16S ribosomal RNA
Rfam family: Bacterial small subunit ribosomal RNA
Source: RNAcentral
UACGAAGGGGGCUAGCGUUGCUCGGAAUCACUGGGCGUAAAGGGCGCGUAGGCGGCCAUUCAAGUCAGGGGUGAAAGCCUGAAGCUUAACUUCAGAACUGCCUUUGAUACUGUUUGGCUUGAGACCGGAAGAGGUAAGUGGAACUGCGAGUGUAGAGGUGAAAUUCGUAGAUAUUCGCAAGAACACCAGUGGCGAAGGCGGCUUACUGGUCCGGUUCUGACGCUGAGGCGCGAAAGCGUGGGGAGCGAACAGG